RNAcentral lists this ribosomal RNA (699 nucleotides) under uncultured Desulfobacterales bacterium. Its description in RNAcentral is "bacterial SSU rRNA". It matches the Rfam family "Bacterial small subunit ribosomal RNA", at positions 8 to 679 of the family's 1533-position model. Lineage: Bacteria; Pseudomonadati; Thermodesulfobacteriota; Desulfobacteria; Desulfobacterales. The record is from RNAcentral.
AGAGUUUGAUCCUGGCUCAGAAUGAACGCUGGCGGCGUGCUUAACACAUGCAAGUCGCACGAGAACGCUUCAGCUUGCUGAAGUAAGUAAAGUGGCGCACGGGUGAGUAACGCGUGGGUAAUCUACCCUCAAAUUGGGGAUAACCCGCCGAAAGGCGGGCUAAUACCGAAUGACAUCUUGAAAACCUAUGUUUUCGGGAUCAAAGGUGGCCUCUACAUGUAAGCUAUUGUUUGGGGAUGAGCCCGCGUACCAUUAGCUUGUUGGUAGGGUAAUGGCCUACCAAGGCUACGAUGGUUAGCUGGUCUGAGAGGAUGAUCAGCCACACUGGAACUGACGCACGGUCCAGACUCCUACGGGAGGCAGCAGUGAGGAAUUUUGCGCAAUGGGGGAAACCCUGACGCAGCAACGCCGCGUGAGUGAUGAAGGCUUUCGGGUCGUAAAGCUCUGUCAAGUGGGAAGAAUUCACAUGGUGUUAAUAUCGCCAUAUGCUGACGGUACCACUGAAGGAAGCACCGGCUAACUCCGUGCCAGCAGCCGCGGUAAUACGGGGGGUGCGAGCGUUAUUCGGAAUUACUGGGCGUAAAGAGCGCGUAGGCGGUCUUUUAAGUCAGGUGUGAAAGCCCGGGGCUCAACCCCGGAAGUGCACUUGAAACUAAGAGACUUGAGUAUGGGAGAGGGAAGUGGAAUUCCUGGUGUAGC